UCCCUAGUGGCUCAGAUGGUAAAGCAUCUACCUACAAUGUGGGAGACCUGGGUUCAAUACCUGGGUUGGGAA
Molecule: transfer RNA, 72 nt
Filed under: Ovis aries (sheep)
Lineage: Eukaryota; Metazoa; Chordata; Mammalia; Artiodactyla; Bovidae
Rfam family: tRNA
About the family: Transfer RNA (tRNA) molecules are approximately 80 nucleotides in length. Their secondary structure includes four short double-helical elements and three loops (D, anti-codon, and T loops). Further hydrogen bonds mediate the characteristic L-shaped molecular structure. tRNAs have two regions of fundamental functional importance: the anti-codon, which is responsible for specific mRNA codon recognition, and the 3' end, to which the tRNAs corresponding amino acid is attached (by aminoacyl-tRNA synthetases). tRNAs cope with the degeneracy of the genetic code in two manners: having more than one tRNA (with a specific anti-codon) for a particular amino acid; and 'wobble' base-pairing, i.e. permitting non-standard base-pairing at the 3rd anti-codon position.
Source: Rfam by way of RNAcentral